CCUACGGGUGGCUGCAGUGGGGAAUAUUGCACAAUGGGCGCAAGCCUGAUGCAGCCAUGCCGCGUGUGUGAAGAAGGCCUUCGGGUUGUAAAGCACUUUCAGCGGGGAGGAAGGCGGUGAGGUUAAUAACCUCAUCGAUUGACGUUACCCGCAGAAGAAGCACCGGCUAACUCCGUGCCAGCAGCCGCGGUAAUACGGAGGGUGCAAGCGUUAAUCGGAAUUACUGGGCGUAAAGCGCACGCAGGCGGUCUGUCAAGUCGGAUGUGAAAUCCCCGGGCUCAACCUGGGAACUGCAUUCGAAACUGGCAGGCUAGAGUCUUGUAGAGGGGGGUAGAAUUCCAGGUGUAGCGGUGGAAUGCGUAGAGAUCUGGAGGAAUACCGGUGGCGAAGGCGGCCCCCUGGACAAAGACUGACGCUCAGGUGCGAAAGCGUGGGGAGCAAACAGGAUUAGAUACCCGUGUAGUC
RNAcentral lists this ribosomal RNA (465 nucleotides) under uncultured Klebsiella sp. RNAcentral describes it as "bacterial SSU rRNA". It matches the Rfam family "Bacterial small subunit ribosomal RNA", at positions 338 to 795 of the family's 1533-position model. The record is from RNAcentral. Lineage: Bacteria; Pseudomonadati; Pseudomonadota; Gammaproteobacteria; Enterobacterales; Enterobacteriaceae.